AAAAACUCAUUUGAUAAGGCCUCCUCGCCGGCGGCGAGCUCGACCACUCCGGCUCCGGCGACUGAGCCUCCACUCCCCGUCUCUCUCCAGCACACAUAGUCUCCGUGUCCUUCCCCUUCCCUCCCCACCAGCAGACGGCAAAGGCGCGCUUGACGGCGCUGAACUCGCACCGUUGGUCAGUCGCCAGAUUUCUUCCGCCGAUGUUGUAUUCAUUGGUGCCACAGGAGCAUUAGUGCAUGAUCCUCUUCCCCUGCCUCCCUCUUUGAGAGAUCAUGGGGGUACAACCGCACGCCUGUAUCCUCAGGCUGUGCUUGGAGCAGGAGAACAGCUUGAAGCCCGAGUCCCCCACGACGAGAUCAGCCUGAGAAGGUUGCCCUGCUGGUUCGGAAGGUUGCCCUGCUGGUUCAGAAGGUUGCCCUGCUGGGCAUUACAAAGGAGGCCCGCACCAUGGUUCAGAACCUGAGGAAAGGGUAUCACCACUACUACGAGGCUUACCUGAACAGAGAGAUCCGGUUCUUCGCCUGGGAUGUUUUGACAGAGAAACUGGAUGGGUUUGUCGCUCUUGAUGAUGAGGUUGCGAGCUAUAUAUGGUGCUCACGAUGAUUUUAGGCCACAUUUUGUUGCUCAGCUUGAAGCAGAUGCAGAGCACUGUCGCUGAGGCAACAACCUUGUAGAGUCCGAGGAGGCAUCAGGGAUUGAAAACACUGAAAAGAAUCAGCAGGAGGAAGGAAAGGUGCAUCAUACGCUCCCACCGGGACCGGGGGACGACGAAAACAGAGAAAUUGGAUGAUGCCAUGAAGUAGGAUCCUGGAUCAGGGAAGAUGGACAGUGACUUCAUUCCUUUUUUUUAAUUGAGAAAUCCUUCAUUCCUUAUUUCCAUAUAUGAUAU
Long non-coding RNA from Triticum aestivum (bread wheat), 889 nucleotides. RefSeq lists it as uncharacterized. The transcript is spliced from 3 exons. Lineage: Eukaryota; Viridiplantae; Streptophyta; Magnoliopsida; Poales; Poaceae. The record is from RefSeq and is a predicted model, not a curated record.